Nematostella vectensis (starlet sea anemone) is the source of this 2873-nucleotide long non-coding RNA. RefSeq lists it as uncharacterized. NCBI's taxonomy places the organism in Eukaryota, Metazoa, Cnidaria, Anthozoa, Actiniaria, Edwardsiidae. The record is from RefSeq and is a predicted model, not a curated record. The transcript is spliced from 2 exons.
GCCUAAAAUCACGCACUCUAUGCAUUUUAAUGUCCGAGAAACGGUUGAUUGGAACCAGCGUACUCUAUGGAAGAUCAUUUUCACAGCGUUUGUAAAAAAGGAUGGUUUUCGGUCAAAAAGAUUUCCAUAACAGCCUCUUCCGGUUCACAUCGCUCAAGAUGUGAUCGCGCGUUUGACUCAUGUUGCUAGGAAACGUGAGCGUAACCAAUCAGAGGCGUUUCUAAAAAUAACUGCUUGUUCUAAAAAUAGCUUCCACGGACGUCAUCAUUGGAACAUACCCUAAUACGGGGGAUUCGUUCUCUUACAUCAUGGUCUCUUGAUUGCAAUCGAUAAUUACCUUGCUCGUCAUUCUGAACUCCUCCAUUGGCCAAAAACUUACCGCGAAGCUGAUUCUACAACAAGAGAGCCUCGAAACAUUAAAGAACAGUAUCCUGUACGCCUCGAACUCCGCCGAAAGAGAAUGCCGACAAAAUUUAAAGCCAGUAAAUGGAACUGCUCUUGUUUGGGCCCGUCCAGUGGUGCAAACACACGGAAAGGAUGUUUUAAGACAAGCGCAUGUAGACAAGUUUGUUGGUAUUGAGAAGAGAUUUUUACGAAGAUGGGAAGAGACCAGGGUAAUGUUUGAGCCUACGUGGUGUCUUUUAACUACAUCUACGCCCCUACUGGUCAUUUUCAGAAGAAUGUAAAAAAGGAAGGCUGAUAUUAGAUAAAGUUUUAUUAGAAAUAAUAGAGAUGGGGUCUUUAUGAGCUUUUAAGGAAAUCAGAGGGUGACAAAUACUAUGGUGCUCUCUAAACAUUUUUUUGUCUUAAUUAAGUUUACGAAUCUAAAAUGUUAUUCAUCAAUUUUCGGCAGUACAAUGCUUGUCACUUCCAUUCAGGCGUGCAAGUUAUUUCUUAUCAAAUACGUUAUAUUAAUCAAGCCUACCGUCGUUGGUAUUAUUUUGAAAGUUAGUUUUUUUUUCUCCAAUAGCCCGUUUAUUAUAACACAAAAGCUAAGACGUUGGCAAAUAUUUUCAAUUCACAGAAAGAUGUCAGUUUGGCAAAUUUUCUUAUACCCAGCCGACAUUAAUCAAUGAAUUUAUGGAUAAAUGCGUAUCGUGACGAAACAGUCAUGGUUGCAUGAGUUUGGAGUAUAAUAAAUGAUAUCAUCCUCAGACGACAACGCACAAAAAUGCUCUAAGCACAAGCCAAAGUCACCCUAAACUCCAAGGCAGCACAGAAUGGCACUUAGCAGGAUACUCAAACAUUUGGCUUUCCAUUGGCAAUUACUUUUGCUUCUGAUGAUCUUGUUUUGGACCAAGAUAUCAGCUUGCAUAUCAGACCAAGAAUGCGCAUACGGGAGCCGUUGUGUAAGCAACUCAUGCCAAGAAAACAUCUCAAAAUCGACCCAAAUGAUUAUUAGUGGCACAAUAUUGCUAAUCCUUCUAUGCUGUUGUUUGGUAUCUUGCCUGUGUCGAUUCAAAAGACGUCGGCGUAGAAGACGUAAUAAUCCCGUAACUCGCGGGAAUCCCGAACAGUCUUAUCAGGCUGAUAACAUUUCUGUUGACAUUCCAGAUGAUCUCCUAGAGGAGGUAAAGAGUAGUAGUGUGAGGAAUUCCGCGGGCCCCCCGCCUUAUUUGUACUUAUUCCAAAAAGGCUAUGGCCAGGACGACGAUGUCCAUAAUAGGAAGAAGCGACUGGAUGUCGUGGAGCUGGAUUUUGGACUCGGGAAAGAAGCGGAGGAAUCUCCUCCAAGUUAUGCCGACGUGUGUAUUAGUGGUAGUAUUGGUGUUGCAAACGAAGCGGCUGAUAGCACAUGAGGUUUGGUUGGACUAUGAAACUGUAGUUCUCCGAUGGUACGGAAUAGGUGAUAUAAAGAGGGAUGUACACGGAUAAGUUUUCAAAAAUUCAUAAGAAAGCUCAUGAAGCUAUCAAGCUACAAUGAAUUUAAGGGGCGCUAAGGAACCACUUGGGAAACGUAACAUAUCUAACAUUGGCAAUCCAUAGUCACACGGCUAAACACAAACAGGGCACGAGGCACUAGGGUGUAUCUCUCUCUCAGGGGCGGAUCUAGCUUUUCGCUAAAAGGGGGAGCUGGCUCAGUGACUCAGGGGGGAGGGGGUAAUGUUUUUGUUACAUUUGGCUUUCUGGCAGCCCAAAGGGGGGGGGGGUUUAACCCCCUAAACCCUCCCUCUAGGUCCGAUACAGUCUUUUCUUCUGUUGUUGGCGCUCGUUAAGGAGUUGUUGCCAUCUUGGCGGUUGGGCAACGACUAAAAUAAUGUGCAUUUUGGCAUCCAGUACUUUACAUUCGAUUUGAGGUUUUCCGUUCAUGCACUUCUCUUAAAGGGCGCAACGCAUUUCGAAGUGGGACCUGAUUACCGAUUGCACAACAAUGAGAAGACUUAACAAGUAAGAUAAGAUAAUUGCGUCUGAUCUGUGUUGAGCAAUUACAUUCUAACUCAGCAUGCAACCAUACCUUUUUCUCAUAAGCCAUAUUACAAAAAAAAGUCUUAACACUAAAAUCUGUUUUAUGCUUAACUUAUGCUGUAAUUGUUAUGCCCAAUCAAAUUUUUAUUAUUCACACAUACAUUUUUGACAAGCCAGGGUGCAUUUUCAUUCCAUGCCUUUUUCACGGACACUUCUUAGCCGGACUGUCGACCGUGUAGUGGGAUCAGUACUGUGUUCAUUAACGGGUUCUUUGGUAUUAUAUUCGGUAAUUAUACUUUAGGUAAACAUUUUCCUUGUAACUUACAUAUUUUGAUGCUUUUGUUUACACAAAGAUUGGCUUCUUGUAUUCUGUAGAUGGAUGUGAUUGAAGAAACGCAUAUUAUCCGAUACGAGGGCCAAAUGUUAUUAGUUAUUUUUUUCUAAAUUACAAUUUGGAUUAUGUUGUC